This 429-nucleotide ribosomal RNA is filed under the name Pseudomonadota bacterium. Its description in RNAcentral is "Proteobacteria bacterium partial 16S ribosomal RNA". It matches the Rfam family "Bacterial small subunit ribosomal RNA", at positions 355 to 776 of the family's 1533-position model. Lineage: Bacteria; Pseudomonadati; Pseudomonadota. The record is from RNAcentral.
UGGGGAAUAUUGGACAAUGGGCGAAAGCCUGAUCCAGCCAUGCCGCGUGUGUGAAGAAGGUCUUCGGAUUGUAAAGCACUUUAAGUUGGGAGGAAGGGCAGUAAGCGAAUACCUUGCUGUUUUGACGUUACCGACAGAAUGAGCACCGGCUAACUCUGUGCCAGCAGCCGCGGUAAUACAGAGGGUGCAAGCGUUAAUCGGAAUUACUGGGCGUAAAGCGCGCGUAGGUGGUUCGUUAAGUUGAAUGUGAAAGCCCCGGGCUCAACCUGGGAACUGCAUCCAAAACUGGCGAGCUAGAGUAGGGCAGAGGGUGGUGGAAUUUCCUGUGUAGCGGUGAAAUGCGUAGAUAUAGGAAGGAACACCAGUGGCGAAGGCGACCACCUGGGCUCAUACUGACACUGAGGUGCGAAAGCGGGGGGAGCAAACAGG